UCGAUCAAGGGCAGGGGAAAAACAAGGGUUACCUUGUUCUUGCAAAAAUUCACCAAUUGACAAGGAGAAAUCAAGGUUUAAUUGCUGCAUGUGCUAAAACUUCAAACAUCUAAGUAUAUCUAGUAAAGUGGUGUAAAGGAAGAAGGCUCGAAUUCUAAGAAGCCGGAAGGAUCACAAGACCGAGGUAAAUCCUCGACUUAGGCGAUUGGACGACUUGGAACGUGCACACUUGGUUUACGCCCGCUUCUCGCUUCCGUUGUUAAGCCUUUUUGGAAUGGGUUAAGUCUUGGUCUUAUGUAUUUAAGUCUAGGUAGUAUGUUGACAUCUUUGUCGUAGGGUAAAAUUUGGUAGUUGGAGUCAUGUCGUGACCAAUGUGGACUUUGUUUGUUUUGGGUUUUUGUCAAAGAUGUUUAAUGUUUAAGUUUGGUUUGUAAAACAGGUGGUUAAUGAUGUUAAACGAAUAGGUCAUGUCGAAAUUUUCAAAAAUAUUUUCCUACUUAUUUGUACGUAUUUAAUAGUAGGAUUGGGGCGUAACAAAAAAAAGUUAACAUCUUCGGUUGGCGAGGGUUUCAAGAUAGGCUUCCAACUCUUAAAGGUUUGAAGAAACGUAACAUAUUUCACGGUUCUACAUUGUGCAGCUUAUGUGGGGAGGCCGAAGAGGAUGCGGAACACCUUUUCAUCUCUUGUUAUGUGGCAGCCGUCCUAUGGCAAAAGGUUAGCGUAUGGUGUAAUAUUCCCCAAAUCUACGCGUUUAAUAUGAAAGAUUUGUUUCAAACGGGAAGGAACUUGGCUGUAUCAAAUCAUAAGAAGGAGUUGGUCCGGAUGAUUAUUUUGGUAGCAUGUUGGGUGAUUUGGAAGACGCGAAACGAGCUGGUUUUCUCAUGGUGCCGUCCAAAUAUUGAUAAGAUAUUUGGAGAGUUGCAAGCUAUGUCCUUUCUAUGGUUAAAGAACCGGGCGAAACAAUUCAAUUUUGAGUGGAAUAAUUGGGUAAAUUUUUCGGGCUUUGAGUAAUGUAAAUCAGGUACUAUAGGGCAUAUGUGGGGUUUACAUUUUGUGUUUAGAGUCUUGUAAACAUUGAAUGUAAUUUUG
Long non-coding RNA from Helianthus annuus (common sunflower), 1089 nucleotides. RefSeq lists it as uncharacterized. The record is from RefSeq and is a predicted model, not a curated record. Lineage: Eukaryota; Viridiplantae; Streptophyta; Magnoliopsida; Asterales; Asteraceae. The transcript has 3 exons.